This 72-nucleotide transfer RNA is filed under the name Tetrahymena thermophila SB210. Its description in RNAcentral is "Tetrahymena thermophila tRNA-His for anticodon GUG". It matches the Rfam family "tRNA". Rfam says of the family: Transfer RNA (tRNA) molecules are approximately 80 nucleotides in length. Their secondary structure includes four short double-helical elements and three loops (D, anti-codon, and T loops). The record is from RNAcentral. Lineage: Eukaryota; Ciliophora; Oligohymenophorea; Hymenostomatida; Tetrahymenidae.
UAAAGCGUGGUGCAGUGGAAGCAUACCGGAACGUGUAUUCGGUGGUCAUGGGAUCGAAACCCAUCGCUUUAA